GGGGAUAUGGCUCAGUGGUAGAGUAUGUGCUUAAUAUAUGCAAGGUCCUGGGUUCAAUCCCCAGCACCACCC
Molecule: transfer RNA, 72 nt
Filed under: Ictidomys tridecemlineatus (thirteen-lined ground squirrel)
Lineage: Eukaryota; Metazoa; Chordata; Mammalia; Rodentia; Sciuridae
Description: Spermophilus tridecemlineatus (thirteen-lined ground squirrel) tRNA
Rfam family: tRNA
About the family: Transfer RNA (tRNA) molecules are approximately 80 nucleotides in length. Their secondary structure includes four short double-helical elements and three loops (D, anti-codon, and T loops).
Source: Rfam by way of RNAcentral